GACGAACGCUGGCGGCGUGCUUAACACAUGCAAGUCGAGCGGUAAGGCCCUUUCGGGGGUACGACGAGCGGCGAACGGGUGAGUAACACGUGGGUGACCUGCCCUCAGCUCUGGGAUAAGCCUGGGAAACUGGGUCUAAUACUGGAUAUGACUCCACGGUGCAUGUCGUGGGGUGGAAAGCCUUGUGCGGCUGAGGAUGGGCCCGCGGCCUAUCAGCUUGUUGGNGGGGUGAUGGCCUACCAAGGCGACGACGGGUAGCCGGCCUGAGAGGGCGGGUCGGUCACACUGACACUGACAUACGGGUCAGACUCCUACGGGAGGCAGCAGUCGGGAAUUUUGGGCAAUGGGCGAAAGCCUGACCCAGCAACGCCGCGUGAAGGAUGAAAUCCCUCGGGAUGUAAACUUCGCAAAGAUUGGGAAGAAUUUAGUAGGGGUUAAUACCCCCUAUGAUGACGGUACCUUUUGUAAGCUCCGGCUAACUCCGUGCCAGCAGCCGCCG
RNAcentral lists this ribosomal RNA (499 nucleotides) under uncultured bacterium. RNAcentral describes it as "bacterial SSU rRNA". It matches the Rfam family "Bacterial small subunit ribosomal RNA", at positions 28 to 520 of the family's 1533-position model. The record is from RNAcentral.